CCUACGGGAGGCUGCAGUGGGGAAUAUUGGACAAUGGGCGAAAGCCUGAUCCAGCCAUGCCGCGUGUGUGAAGAAGGCCUUCGGGUUGUAAAGCACUUUCAGUGGGGAAGAAAGCCUUGGGGCUAAUACCCUCGAGGAAGGACAUCACCCACAGAAGAAGCACCGGCUAGCUCCGUGCCAGCAGCCGCGGUAAUACGGAGGGUGCGAGCGUUAAUCGGAAUUACUGGGCGUAAAGCGCGCGUAGGCGGUCUGAUAAGCCGGUUGUGAAAGCCCCGGGCUCAACCUGGGAACGGCAUCCGGAACUGUCAGGCUAGAGUGCAGGAGAGGAAGGUAGAAUUCCCGGUGUAGCGGUGAAAUGCGUAGAGAUCGGGAGGAAUACCAGUGGCGAAGGCGGCCUUCUGGACUGACACUGACGCUGAGGUGCGAAAGCGUGGGUAGCAAACAGGAUUAGAUACCCUAGUAGUC
This 465-nucleotide ribosomal RNA is filed under the name Vreelandella stevensii. Its description in RNAcentral is "partial 16S ribosomal RNA". It matches the Rfam family "Bacterial small subunit ribosomal RNA", at positions 338 to 795 of the family's 1533-position model. Lineage: Bacteria; Pseudomonadati; Pseudomonadota; Gammaproteobacteria; Oceanospirillales; Halomonadaceae. The record is from RNAcentral.